AGUGAACGCUGGCGGUAGGCCUAACACAUGCAAGUCGAACGGCAGCACAGUAAGAGCUUGCUCUUACGGGUGGUGAGUGGCGGACGGGUGAGGAAUACAUCGGAAUCUACUUUUUCGUGGGGGAUAACGUAGGGAAACUUACGCUAAUACCGCAUACGACCUACGGGUGAAAGCAGGGGAUCUUCGGACCUUGCGCGAUUGAAUGAGCCGAUGUCGGAUUAGCUAGUUGGCGGGGUAAAGGCCCACCAAGGCGACGAUCCGUAGCUGGUCUGAGAGGAUGAUCAGCCACACUGGAACUGAGACACGGUCCAGACUCCUACGGGAGGCAGCAGUGGGGAAUAUUGGACAAUGGGCGCAAGCCUGAUCCAGCCAUACCGCGUGGGUGAAGAAGGCCUUCGGGUUGUAAAGCCCUUUUGUUGGGAAAGAAAAGCAGCAGGUUAAUACCUCGCUGUUCUGACGGUACCCAAAGAAUAAGCACCGGCUAACUUCGUG
Molecule: ribosomal RNA, 492 nt
Filed under: uncultured bacterium
Lineage: Bacteria
Description: partial 16S ribosomal RNA
Rfam family: Bacterial small subunit ribosomal RNA
Source: RNAcentral